Molecule: ribosomal RNA, 291 nt
Filed under: uncultured bacterium
Lineage: Bacteria
Description: partial 16S ribosomal RNA
Rfam family: Bacterial small subunit ribosomal RNA
Source: RNAcentral
GUGGAUUAUAUACCCUAGUAGUCCACGCCCUAAACGAUGUCAACUGGUUGUUGGGGAAGGUAACUUUCUUAGUAACGAAGCUAACGCGUGAAGUUGACCGCCUGGGGAGUACGGCCGCAAGGUUAAAACUCAAAGGAAUUGACGGGGACCCGCACAAGCGGUGGAUGAUGUGGAUUAAUUCGAUGCAACGCGAAGAACCUUACCUACCCUUGACAUGUAGCGAACCCUGCUGAGAGGUGGGGGUGCCCGAAAGGGAGCGCUAACACAGGUGCUGCAUGGCCGUCGACAGCU